Long non-coding RNA from Daktulosphaira vitifoliae (grape phylloxera), 763 nucleotides. RefSeq lists it as uncharacterized. Lineage: Eukaryota; Metazoa; Arthropoda; Insecta; Hemiptera; Phylloxeridae. The transcript is spliced from 4 exons. The record is from RefSeq and is a predicted model, not a curated record.
UAUUAAAAGUGAGAUUCAAACUAGAUCAACAAACGAGUAAGUGGCAUCUGAAAAUUGUUUAAUGAUAAAUAUUGUCAUCUUCAUACCUCAUCUUAUGUCUAUAUUUUAAUAUGGGAGGAAACGGGAAAAGAGAUGCAUCCGAAAAAUGUCUAAUGAUAAAUAUUAUCAUACCUACGCUCGCCUUCAAUCUGUAAUUUAAAAUGGAAUACAGAAAUAUAAAGGGUUCGUUGAUGAAUAACAUUUGGUAGAUUCCACUGAGUUUAGAAAAUUAAAGUUCAUUUAUUAGAAAAUAACAAUAAAUUGUAAGCACUGAGACAAAUUUUGCGAUAGACGACGUAAAUCGAGUUCCCAACAUCGACGCAAAAUCCCACAACUAUUCCAACUUUCCCAUAACUAUAUUAUUACCUACACGAAGACCUAAAAGUGACAAGUUUAUUUAUCGACUAGCAGUGAGUAUUCAACCAGCAAAACCACACUAGAAUGAUAUGGGAUAUGUGAUCGGCUACAUCAAUGGCAAGUUUAAAAUGUAUAGAAUGCAAUUUAUGUAUGUAUAUAUAUACACAUAACGUAGCUUUCGAAACCACUGUACAUUUGGAAGGAGAUAAUCGGGAGACCUUAAAAGCUGGAGAAUUCAACAGAAAAUGAUAAUAAUUUCAUGAAGUUUACUGGCAAUCAGCCAUUUUUUAUAUUUAACGAAACAAAAAAAAUCAAUAGGUCAAUACUAUCAAUAUUGCAAGCCUAUAAACUUUUUUUUAUCAAUUUG